GUCACUCACAUAGACUCCAGCUCAAGUUUUCAGAUGUUCAUCUGUCCUCACUGUACUCAGCAAGUCUUGUAGGUGUUCAUUAAGCCAAGUUGCAACCUGGGAAGCAUUUAUCUGAAUCUUGUAACUUCACCAGCUGUCCAGAGAUUACUCACUAUCAUUUACUAAGGAAAGAAAAGAAACAUAGCAAAAGUUAGGGUUCCCCUGAAAAAUGUUUUAAGAGGCAGGAGGACCUUGUAAGAUUGGACGUGGUGGCCAUUCUGCUCUGACCUGUUUCCAGAUACUUAAGGAGCCAGACACAGAACAAUAUGAUGAAAUUGCUGAUUUUGGAGUAAAUUGGCAUAAAUGUUCUAUGUGGAACUAUAAGGACUGAAAGAAAACAGCUGCCUGUCUCAAAGCAAGGCCACAGAAGGAAUUUGCCAUAAGACACCAAAACAGCAACUUAAACACAGACAGGAGAAAUUUUUGCCAGGAAGGAGCUAAUUUCAGACCUGGUGGAGGUAAGAUCUGGCUAGUACAUCCUGGUUAGCGUAUCUGGACAAAAAUUCCCACU
Molecule: long non-coding RNA, 550 nt
Organism: Corvus hawaiiensis (hawaiian crow)
Lineage: Eukaryota; Metazoa; Chordata; Aves; Passeriformes; Corvidae
Exons: 4
Source: RefSeq, a predicted model, not a curated record